UUGGAGGGCAAGUCUGGUGCCAGCAGCCGCGGUAAUUCCAGCUCCAAUAGCGUAUAUUAAAGUUGUUGCAGUUAAAAAGCUCGUAGUUGAAUUUCGGAAUCUGUCCGUCGGUCGGGCUUCACUGUCCGUACUGGUGUGAUGGGUUUCUACCUUCUGAAUAAUCGGCAUGUCAUUUAUUUGGUGCGCCGGGGAAGCAGAACUAUUACCUUGAAAAAAUUAGAGUGCUUAAAGCAGGCUAUCGCCUGAAUAGAUUAGCAUGGAAUAAUAAAAUAGGACGGCAUGGUUCUAUUUUGUUGGUUUCUAGGAUCACCGUAAUGAUUAAUAGGGAUAGUUGGGGGCAUUAGUAUUCAAUUGUCAGAGGUGAAAUUCUUGGAUUUAUUGAAGACUAACUUCUGCGAAAGCAUUUGCCAAGGAUGUUUUCAUUAAUCAAGAACGAAAGUUAGGGGAUCGAAGACGAUCAGAUACCGUCGUAGUCUUAACCAUAAACUAUGCCGACUAGGGAUCGGACGAUGUUAAUUUUUUAAUGACUCGUUCGGCGCCUUACGGGAAAC
This 551-nucleotide ribosomal RNA is filed under the name uncultured Acaulospora. Its description in RNAcentral is "SSU rRNA". It matches the Rfam family "Eukaryotic small subunit ribosomal RNA", at positions 548 to 1098 of the family's 1831-position model. Lineage: Eukaryota; Fungi; Glomeromycota; Glomeromycetes; Diversisporales; Acaulosporaceae. The record is from RNAcentral.